UGGAGUAUAGCUUAAUUGGAAGAUCGGCGGUCUCCAAAACCGUUUAUAUAGGUUCGAUUCCUAUUGUUCCAG
Molecule: transfer RNA, 72 nt
Filed under: Enterococcus faecalis
Lineage: Bacteria; Bacillati; Bacillota; Bacilli; Lactobacillales; Enterococcaceae
Description: tRNA-Trp
Rfam family: tRNA
About the family: Transfer RNA (tRNA) molecules are approximately 80 nucleotides in length.
Source: RNAcentral